CAAAUGUUGUAGUAGUGGAUAAAUUGUAAUCCUCCUCCUCCUCCUCCUCAAUGAAAAUGCCACUUAAUAACAAAGUCUUGAACAUGAAUUUCAUUAAGAAAAAAAAAACAUGGAAAGAAAGAAACAGCAUACACGACAAACCCUUCAACGAAAAUGUAAACAGGAAACUGUUGCCUUGACGAAGCCCUCCUUAAGCAUAGGAAUAUCCAUAACCGCAAAAAUAAACAAAACAUCAAACGGAGCUCUUUAUUGCACAUAAUGCAUCAGUUGAUCUAAAGUUACAGUUUUAGACCCCCAGGAUUGGAUCAUACUCUUUAGCCACUCACGUCGUAUGCAGAAAAAGGUACUGAUAGCAAAUUUCCGGGCUUGGUUUUAUCAACGUUUCCUGGGCCGUCAUUUGCGGUGACCGCGCCUAGGAUCAUGGCCGGUGUUAGCCGAGGGUGCGCUGUAAUCAUCAAGCUUGAUUUUCAGAGACCUUCCUUCCAUCCCGGCAACAAUCGUCUCCUCUUCUGAAAAACAUAUAUCAUCAUCAAUAAACACUGAUAUGGCUGGCUCAGACUUCAGAAGCAAUAUCCAAUUAAUUAUUAAACCAAAAAGAAAAAAAUAAGAUAUGCAUUUUCAGCACAGAACGAGAUGAGUUGACUGUUUUUUUUUUUUUUUAAUAUGAAGAUUCUCAUAAUAUGUUUUUAGAGCCAUUGAGGGCCGUACCACCGUCUGCCAUGGUUGGCUCGUAAACCGUAACGAAGGCUCUAUAACAAAUUAAGCACGUCGCACAACAAUAUCUCAUGAUCUCAUCGUAAUAAUGAACAUACUGAUAAACAUAUACAAGAACCGAGGGGGCCCAAAUAAAAAAAAAAAAAUGACCCCAGCAUCUGCAAUUACAAGCUCAGAGCACCAAGUCCCCAGAGUGCAAAGUAGAAAAAAUCUUAGGUGAAAUUUUAAGUUGAUUUCCUUUUUUUUUUUUGGGUUAAGAAUAUUCCAGGAUGCAUGCCUGGGACAGAAACGGAGAGAGAGCCCAUUUACAUUUUCUGUGAAUAUGUACGGGUGUUUCGUUGGAAAUAGGUAAAUGCGUGAAUGGAUAAUGAUACUCGAAAAUACCUGAAAUGAAAAUGGUGUUUCUAGCGGAGCAAAUAACGAGAAAGGCAAGCAGAAUACAGAAGCAGAAUCGACUUCCUCCUCCGAAGCCCAUUCCUCUUUUCAGUUUUUACUCCUAAAGAAGACGGUGUUGUGCAGUGAAUGCCCUUCCUUCUAUAUAGAAAGAGU
This 1263-nucleotide long non-coding RNA is filed under the name Coffea arabica (coffee). RNAcentral's name for it is "long non-coding RNA (CARA_LNC000771)". Lineage: Eukaryota; Viridiplantae; Streptophyta; Magnoliopsida; Gentianales; Rubiaceae. The record is from RNAcentral.